CCUACGGGAGGCAGCAGUGAGGAAUAUUGGUCAAUGGACGAGAGUCUGAACCAGCCAAGUAGCGUGAAGGAUGACUGCCCUAUGGGUUGUAAACUUCUUUUAUAUGGGAAUAAAAUGUUCCACGUGUGGGAUUUUGUAUGUACCAUAUGAAUAAGGAUCGGCUAACUCCGUGCCAGCAGCCGCGGUAAUACGGAGGAUCCGAGCGUUAUCCGGAUUUAUUGGGUUUAAAGGGAGCGUAGGUGGAUUGUUAAGUCAGUUGUGAAAGUUUGAGGCUCAACCGUAAAAUUGCAGUUGAAACUGGCAGUCUUGAGUACAGUAGAGGUAGGCGGAAUUCGUGGUGUAGCGGUGAAAUGCUUAGAUAUCACGAAGAACUCCGAUUGCGAAGGUAGUUCACUGGACUGCAACUGACACUGAGGCUCGAAAGUGUGGGUAUCAAACAGGAUUAGAUACCCUAGUAGUC
This 460-nucleotide ribosomal RNA is filed under the name uncultured bacterium. RNAcentral describes it as "partial 16S ribosomal RNA". It matches the Rfam family "Bacterial small subunit ribosomal RNA", at positions 338 to 795 of the family's 1533-position model. The record is from RNAcentral.